GACAGAGGGUGCAAACGUUGUUCGGAAUUACUGGGCGUAAAGCGCGUGUAGGCGGCAGGGCAUGUCGGAUGUGAAAUCCCGUGGCUCAACCACGGAAGUGCACCCGAAACUGCCCAGCUUGAGUCUCGGAGAGGAAGGCGGAAUGCUUGGUGUAGAGGUGAAAUUCGUAGAUAUCGAGAGGAACACCGGUGGCGAAGGCGGCAUUCUGGACCAUAACUGACACUGAGAGACGAAAGCCAGGGGAGCAAACGGG
Molecule: ribosomal RNA, 253 nt
Filed under: uncultured bacterium
Lineage: Bacteria
Description: partial 16S ribosomal RNA
Rfam family: Bacterial small subunit ribosomal RNA
Source: RNAcentral